Molecule: ribosomal RNA, 277 nt
Filed under: uncultured bacterium
Lineage: Bacteria
Description: partial 16S ribosomal RNA
Rfam family: Bacterial small subunit ribosomal RNA
Source: RNAcentral
GAUGAACGCUGGCGGCGUGCCUAAUACAUGCAAGUCGAGCGAAUGGAUUAAGAGCUUGCUCUUAUGAAGUUAGCGGCGGACGGGUGAGUAACACGUGGGUAACCUGCCCGUAAGACUGGGAUAACUCCGGGAAACCGGGGCUAAUACCGGAUAACAUUUUGAACCGCAUGGUUCGAAAUUGAAAGGCGGCUUCGGCUGUCACUUAUGGAUGGACCCGCGUCGCAUUAGCUAGUUGGUGAGGUAACGGCUCACCAAGGCAACGAUGCGUAGCCGACCU